Molecule: ribosomal RNA, 482 nt
Filed under: Oxalobacteraceae bacterium 'ARUP UnID 396'
Lineage: Bacteria; Pseudomonadati; Pseudomonadota; Betaproteobacteria; Burkholderiales; Oxalobacteraceae
Description: bacterial SSU rRNA
Rfam family: Bacterial small subunit ribosomal RNA
Source: RNAcentral
GAUUGAACGCUGGCGGCAUGCUUUACACAUGCAAGUCGAACGGCAGCGCGGGGCAACCUGGCGGCGAGUGGCGAACGGGUGAGUAAUACAUCGGAACGUACCCAGAAGUGGGGGAUAACGUAGCGAAAGUUACGCUAAUACCGCAUACGUUCUACGGAAGAAAGUGGGGGAUCGCAAGACCUCAUGCUUUUGGAGCGGCCGAUGUCUGAUUAGCUAGUAGGUAGGGUAAAGGCCUACCUAGGCGACGAUCAGUAGCUGGUCUGAGAGGACGACCAGCCACACUGGGACUGAGACACGGCCCAGACUCCUACGGGAGGCAGCAGUGGGGAAUUUUGGACAAUGGGCGCAAGCCUGAUCCAGCAAUGCCGCGUGAGUGAAGAAGGCCUUCGGGUUGUAAAGCUCUUUUGUCAGGGAAGAAACGGCCUGGGCUAAUAYCYUGGGCUAAUGACGGUACCUGAAGAAUAAGCACCGGCUAACUACGU